GAUUGGCGGACGGGUGAGUAAUGUCUGGGAAACUGCCUUGAUGGAGGGGAUAACUACUGGAAAACGGUUAGCUAAUACCGCAUAACGUCGCAAGACCAAAGAGGGGGACUUUCGGGCCUCUUUGCCAUCAGAUGUGCCCAGAUGGGAUUAGUUAGUAGGUGGGGUAACGGGCUCACCUAGGCGACGAUCCCCUAGCUGGUCUGAGAGGGAUGACCAGCCACACUGGAACUGAGACACGGUCCAGACUCCUACGGGAGGCAGCAGUGGGGAAUAUUGCACAAUGGGCGCAAGCCUGAUGCAGCCAUGCCGCGUGUAUGAAGAAGGCCUUCGGGUUGUAAAGUACUUUCAGCGGGGAGGAAGGGAGUAAAGUUAAUACAUAAAAAUAAAUGACGUUACCCGCAGAAGAAGCACCGGCUAACUCCGUGCCAGCAGCCGCGGUAAUACGGAGGGUGCAAGCGUUAAUCGGAAUUACUGGGCGUAAAGCGCACGCAGGCGGUUUGUUAAGUCAGAUGUGAAAUCCCCGGGCUCAACCUGGGAACUGCAUCUGAUACUGGCAAGCUUGAGUCUCGUAGAGGGGGGUAGAAUUCCAGGUGUAGCGGUGAAAUGCGUAGAGAUCCGGAGGAAUACCGGUGGCGAAGGCGGCCCCCUGGACGAAGACUGACGCUCAGGUGCGAAAGCGUGGGGAGCUUACUGAUUAGAUACCCUGGUAGUCCACGCCGUAAACGACUCUUCUUGGAGGUUGUGCCCUUGAGGCGUGGC
This 759-nucleotide ribosomal RNA is filed under the name uncultured bacterium. RNAcentral describes it as "bacterial SSU rRNA". It matches the Rfam family "Bacterial small subunit ribosomal RNA", at positions 93 to 843 of the family's 1533-position model. RNAcentral also lists the same sequence under 1 other name. The record is from RNAcentral.